AAGACUAUAGACCUGCGGAGUACCUGCGGAAGGAUCAUCAACGUAUCUAUGAUGGGGUGCGGAGCGCCCUGCUCCGGUCGAACGGCCGUGCAGCGGGUGCGCCGCCCCCGUCCCACCUCACAAACCCACUGUGAACAUUCACCGGUGGAGGGGGCUCGGUCUGCGCCGUGUCCCCGAUGCCGAAUACCCAAACUCCAGUUGCAAAGAACGUCGUGCGGACUCGGUGCCGCCUAAAACAUG
This 240-nucleotide unclassified non-coding RNA is filed under the name soil metagenome. RNAcentral describes it as "partial contains 5.8S ribosomal RNA, internal transcribed spacer 2, and large subunit ribosomal RNA". The record is from RNAcentral.